RNAcentral lists this ribosomal RNA (351 nucleotides) under Jugurtia braunsiella. Its description in RNAcentral is "partial 12S ribosomal RNA". The record is from RNAcentral. Lineage: Eukaryota; Metazoa; Arthropoda; Insecta; Hymenoptera; Vespidae.
AAUAGGAUAAUAAGAAUUUUAGGGAUUAAAUGAUAAAUCAUUAAAAUGAAAAAAUUUGGCGGUAUUUUAUACAAAUUAGAGGAAUCUGGGUAGUAAAUGAUAAUCCACGAUAAGAAUUACUUGAUUUAAAUAUUUAUGUAUUGUCGUAUAGAUAAGUAAAUUAAUAUUUUAUUGGUAGAAGGAAAGAUUCUUAAUAAUUCAGAUCAAAAUGUAGUAUAUGGUCAAGAAUUAACCUGGAUUACAAUAAAUUAAAUUUUUAGUUAUGGAAUUUUAAUUUUAAUAUUAAAAUGAAAGCGGAUUUAAUAGUAAUUUUAAAAAAUUUUUUAAUUUGAAUAUUGUUUUAAAAUAUGU